UACGUAGGUGGCGAGCGUUGUCCGGAUUUACUGGGCGUAAAGGGAGCGUAGGCGGAUUUUUAAGUGAGAUGUGAAAUACUCGGGCCCAACUUGAGUGCUGCAUUUCAAACUGGAAGUCUAGAGUGCAGGAGAGGAGGAUGGAAUUCCUAGUGUAGCGGUGAAAUGCGUAGAGAUUAGGAAGAACACCAGUGGCGAAGGCGAUUCUCUGGACUGUAACUGACGCUGAGGCUCGAAAGCGUGGGGAGCAAACAGG
RNAcentral lists this ribosomal RNA (253 nucleotides) under uncultured bacterium. RNAcentral describes it as "partial 16S ribosomal RNA". It matches the Rfam family "Bacterial small subunit ribosomal RNA", at positions 524 to 776 of the family's 1533-position model. The record is from RNAcentral.